AUGUCAUCGGCGGCGAACUGCGGGCGCCCUCCGGCCAACGCUUCCUCCGCUGCCUGUAGACUCAAGGACGAGUCCCCGUGGGCUUCUCUCCCUGCAGAUUUGGCCCGGCUUGUGGGCUGGCGGGUGUUGGCCGGAGACCUCCUCGACUACGUCCGGUUCCGCGCCGUCUGCUCUGACUGGCGUUCCGCCACGGUCUCCCCGCACGGCCAUGGCAUCACUGAUCCGCGGUUUCAUCCCCGCCGGUGGAUGCUGCUACCCGAGGGCCACGGCCUCCACCCUGCUGGAAAGAAACGUUUCUUCAACCUCUCUACUGGAUUGUUCGUGCGCCAUCGAGUUCCUCUUCUCGUGGACCACCUUGUUCUCUGCCCGGUCGAUGGGCUUCUCCUACUGCAGGGGGAACACGGCGAAGGAAAUACUCUUCUUCUCCUCCACCCUUUCACCGGCGAUGUUGCGGUGCUGCCGUCGGUCACGUCUCUGAAAAAAAGCUUGAGAGCACAUCUUAAUCCACAUGGGAAAUAUGCUUGGCUCGUUGACGUGAUGGCGUCCUUGAGCGUCAGUGCUGAUGGAAUCCCCAUGAUCAUGAUUGCAAUUUUAGAUUUUUCAUGCGUAGUAUGUGCUACUACCAAGGAUGACCAUUGGAGUGUCUUGGCGAGUUGGAGCUUCAUACCACAAGGAAGGCCAAUGUCAUCCCGGGGAAGCAUAUACAUUUUACAGUGUUCCACAGGUGACAGCGAGCUACAAAUUCUCGGAAUUGACCCAGCUCAGUAUGGAUCGGGGUUACGUCCACAACCACCAAGACUCAUUGCUACAUGUCCGCCAGGCACGAUCUACCCACCUCGGCAUUUAGUAGAAUGUGACUCGGAGAUCCUACUAGUUGGAUACACCAAUUACACGAUUUCCUCGCGCAUGCUAGUUUAUAGGGUAGCCGAUCUUAUCCAAGGAAGUGUUGUCCCACUGACUAGCAUCCAAGGCAAUGCUCUUUUGGUUAGGUUUGGAUGGAGCUUGAGUGUUAGCUUCAAGGCAAUGCCUACUGUUGUUGGCGACACAAUUGUGGGCAUGUACCAUGAUGAUCGAUCGUGCGGCAGCUUGCUUGAUGCUCUGUCUAGUAGUGUUGGCAUCUUUCUUCCACUCAGGCCUAUCACUGAGCGAGUAUCUUGCAUUAAUCAGGCCCUUUUCCGCAAUGCAUAUGACGGACGAGCGGAAUAUAUGACAACUCCGUGUUAUUCUAGGUGCGCUCCAUGGGCCGGGUGUCAACAAGAGCCAUCAAUCAAAAGGUCCUCAUGGGCUAUGGCCAUUCUCUCUCAAAAGUAUGACGACAUGGUUGACUGGAACUUGAGGAGUACUUUUUCCUUCCAUUAUGCUUUACUGAUACUAUACCGAGGAGAUGAUCAGGUUGAUGUCGCACGCAUGCUUGACAAUUUUCAUGCGGAGCAGAGCAGCUGCAAUUCUUGUGGCCAUUCAUCUAUGGGGGGCUGUUUGCUCUUCUUGUGCAACCUUCUUCUUCAUCCUUCUGCGGAUCCUGCAAAUUUUUUAACUUCUCCCAAGAACAUCUUCGACACCCUCAAGAAGUACAAAUUACACUACGAACUAGUAGUGCAUCAGAGUAUGCAUUACAGAGACAGUGGUCGUUUCCCUUUGAGAAAUUUUCUUGCCGUUGCUGAGCCACGUACCUCGCCGGUGGAUCGGUCAAGUUGGUCUGCUGGCUGGAUCGAAAUGAGGCAUGCAUGCAUAUCACUUUAUACAGACAGAUCGGCCAACUAUUUUGAGGGUAACAUGCAUCUGCAUGCAUGCUUCAUACUGCUAGUGCAUGCAAGCUGCAAUAUAAUGCUUGGAAUUUUUGGGGGGCAAACUGAUCAAAGUAGCAACAUCAAAUUAGGAGAAAGAUUAAAGGGGAAUGAAAAAAGAUCAAUUAAAGAUCAUGCGAGAAAUAUAUUCGCUGAGCUCAAUGGGCCGGGUGUCAACAAGAGCCAUCAAUCAAAAAGGACGAAAGGAAACAAAAUUUUCAAACCUCUUAUGCUCCAGGUCCUCAUGGGCUAUGGCCAUUCUCUCGGUAAAAUAUUUUGGAGCAAACCAAAACAUAAGCUUCGGGAGUAUUUCAGCGGUUGCGGCCAUGCAUUUGCAUUGGGAACGAGCAGGCUGGUGGCUAGGAGGGCUUGCAUCCCAUUGUUAGAGUUCGGAACAAAAUGGAGCCUCCCCGUGCGUUUGGAUUCUGGGCCGUUGGAUUGGCUGUCCAAAGCGAUCCAGGCCGUUGGAUCUUCAUCCGGAGCGAUCCUGGCCAUCAGAUCUUCAUCCGGGGCGAUCCUGCCCGUCGGAUCGAAUGAAACACUGCUACUGGUGCCACCGCCUGUAAAUCCCGUGCCCCACCGAGGGCAGUCUCGUCUUUUCACACGCAGGAGUAUAAAAUGCAGCAGGCCCCGCCGUCGCCCCCGCUCGCCCUUGUUCCGUCGCCCCCGCUCAUCCUCGCGCCCUCUUAGGGAUCUCUCCUCCUACUACUACGCCAUGAGAAAGCCCGCCAACGCCAGCGCCGGCCGCGGCACUGGCGCAUUCGAAGUCCGCGUCGAGCGCCCGCAUCGCCCGCCCGUGCACCCGAACCUGACACGACUCAGGGCGCGCCCUGCUACCGGCGCUGGACGCCCUGGCUCGUCCUGGCCAUCUGCGUCGCCAUCUUCCUCGUCACCAAGUUCGGAUUCGCCUUCCAGCAGCUCAAGGAUCGGAGAACCAACUCCUCAGCCCAUUCCCCACCACGUACGCAAGCUGCUAGGCUCCUCCUUCUCUUCUUCCUCCCCCCUUGUUUGCUUCCUCGCAUGUGCAUUUCCUUGCUUAGAGGAGGACAGUACAGGCGGUUUCAAUCCCACCGCCGCCGAACUCCGGGAAUCGCCGCCGCCAAGUCUCCAGGGCAGGGCGGUUUCAAACCCUGCCGACGAACUCCGGGAUACGCAUAAUCGUCGUUGCCGCCCCCUCCCCCGGCUGCCCCAUGGUCUUCUAUCUCUCCCAACUCCGCUGUCGCGCCCCGUCUUCCGUCUCUGCAUGAAUCGCUGUUGUGGCAGCCACUCCCCAUGGCGGCCAUCCGGGCACACCGUGUCCGGGAUGAUGGAGGUGAUGUCGGCCAGUUCCCUGUUUCCGUUGGCAUCUUCUGCGAUGGGACCCGUGGGGGCAGGUCGCGCGCUGCUCAUCUAUGUCGAUGGCGUCGGCGUCGUCCUUCCCCUGCAAAGCAUGGCGGCUCCUUGGCUGGAUCACAGUGAUGAUACAGUUGGCUCGGCGGCGGCUAGGGAUCUCGCAGGCUGGCGUUUAUUUGAUGUCUGGGUGUUCCAAUCGUGA
RNAcentral lists this ribosomal RNA (3318 nucleotides) under Triticum aestivum (bread wheat). RNAcentral's name for it is "partial small subunit ribosomal RNA". Lineage: Eukaryota; Viridiplantae; Streptophyta; Magnoliopsida; Poales; Poaceae. The record is from RNAcentral.